This 492-nucleotide ribosomal RNA is filed under the name uncultured bacterium. Its description in RNAcentral is "partial 16S ribosomal RNA". It matches the Rfam family "Bacterial small subunit ribosomal RNA", at positions 30 to 507 of the family's 1533-position model. The record is from RNAcentral.
AUUGAACGCUGGCGGCAUGCUUUACACAUGCAAGUCGAACGGUAACAGGCCUUCGGGUGCUGACGAGUGGCGCACGGGUGAGUAAUGCAUCGGAACGUGCCCAGAGGUGGGGGAUAACGCAGCGAAAGCUGUGCUAAUACCGCAUGUGAUCUGAGGAUGAAAGCGGGGGACCAAGCAGCAAUGUUUGGCCUCGCGCCUCUGGGGCGGCCGAUGUCAGAUUAGGUAGUUGGUGGGGUAAAGGCCUACCAAGCCGACGAUCUGUAGCUGGUCUGAGAGGACGACCAGCCACACUGGGACUGAGACACGGCCCAGACUCCUACGGGAGGCAGCAGUGGGGAAUUUUGGACAAUGGGCGCAAGCCUGAUCCAGCAAUGCCGCGUGCGGGAAGAAGGCCUUCGGGUUGUAAACCGCUUUUGUACGGAACGAAAAGGCUCUGGCUAAUACCUGGGGCUGAUGACGGUACCGUAAGAAUAAGCACCGGCUAACUACGUG